This 110-nucleotide ribosomal RNA is filed under the name Caerostris darwini. Lineage: Eukaryota; Metazoa; Arthropoda; Arachnida; Araneae; Araneidae. The record is from RNAcentral.
UGGUCAUACCAUGCUGAAUAUACCGGUUCUCGUUAGAUCACCGAAGUCAAGCAUCAUUGGGCGUGGUCAGUACUUGGGUGGGUGACCACCUGGGAACACCGCGUGCCGUU